Molecule: long non-coding RNA, 599 nt
Organism: Homo sapiens (human)
Lineage: Eukaryota; Metazoa; Chordata; Mammalia; Primates; Hominidae
Source: Ensembl
CGAGGGGAAGGAAUCUAGACGUUGUCACCUCCAGUUCGUCAGUGCUAGGCUUCUAAGCACUUACAAUGUCAAAAACAACAUGCUGACAAGAUAAUGUUAAAGUUAAUAUAUUUUAAUCUAUCACUUGCCUGAUACUAUUCUAAUGAGGAGCUAAACACAACAAAAUCAGAAAAACCACCUCCUUAAAAGUUCAAACAGGUUGGGCAUGACAGCUCACUCCUAUAAUCUCAACACUUUGUGAGGCCAAGGUGAGAGGACUGCUUGACGUGCCUGGGCAGCAUAGUGAGACCCUAUUUCUACAAAAACAUUUAAAAAAUUAGCCCAGCAUGGUGGAAUGUUCCUGUGGUCCCACUACUUGGGAGGCUUAGGUGGGAGGAUCACUUGAGCCCAGAGUUUGAGGCUGCAGGGAGCUAGGAUCAAGCCUUGGAGACCCUGUAUCCAAAAACAAACAAACAACCCCACUUCAAACAUCAAACAUUUUCUGCAAGGCAGUUUUCUAUUCUAUGUGUGAAACCUUUGUUACGACUCACUGAAAAUAUGCAAAACUCCAAGCUGAGCUUAGUUUUGCCUGUGCACAGAGACCUUUUUACUCUCAUUCU